GAAACUCAUCAGAGAGGGGAAGACCUUGUCGGGACCAAACAUGAUGCGUCUUGAUUUAAGGUCAACUGAGGCCCAUCUACAAGAGCCUUUUAUGGGAUAUGAGGCCACAACCAUUCUCCAAAAGCUUGGAAAAAAUCAUCCUGUGGCAAUUUUUUUCAAUAUGAAGGUCAUCCAAGCCUACACAAGAUGUGCCAUUUAUCUUCAAGCAAAACUGCCUCUGGACAACCCAGUUCUGAGGACCCUGUCAUGCUUGGACCCAAGUGCCUGGGGAAGCCAACACAUCAUUCCUCACCUGAAGAAAUUGCCGACCAUGUUUCCAGCUGUGAAGCUCACCGAAGAGGAGAAAGCUGGUUUUCACAAUGAAAUAUACAGAUAUGCAAGUGACAUGAUGUUGCCACCAGCAACUGAGGAAACAAGAGUGGAUCUGUGGUGGAAUGCUGUGGGG
Molecule: long non-coding RNA, 445 nt
Organism: Alosa sapidissima (American shad)
Lineage: Eukaryota; Metazoa; Chordata; Actinopteri; Clupeiformes; Clupeidae
Exons: 3
Source: RefSeq, a predicted model, not a curated record